GAAUUCGCCCUUAGAGUUUGAUCCUGGCUCAGGACGAACGCUGGCGGCGCGCCUAACACAUGCAAGUCGAACGGAGCUUAGAGAGCUUGCUUUUUAAGCUUAGUGGCGAACGGGUGAGUAACGCGUGAGUAACCUGCCCUAGAGUGGGGGACAACAGUUGGAAACGACUGCUAAUACCGCAUAAGCCCACGGUACCGCAUGGUACUGAGGGAAAAGGAUUUAUUCGCUUUAGGAUGGACUCGCGUCCAAUUAGCUAGUUGGUGAGGUAACGGCCCACCAAGGCGACGAUUGGUAGCCGGACUGAGAGGUUGAACGGCCACAUUGGGACUGAGACACGGCCCAGACUCCUACGGGAGGCAGCAGUGGGGGAUAUUGCACAAUGGGGGAAACCCUGAUGCAGCGACGCCGCGUGGAGGAAGAAGGUUUCGGAUUGUAAACUCCUGUCGUUAGGGACGAUAAUGACGGUACCUAACAAGAAAGCACCGGCUAACUACGUGCCAGCAGCCGCGGUAAAACGUAGGGUGCAAGCGUUGUCCGGAAUUACUGGGUGUAAAGGGAGCGCAGGCGGGAAGACAAGUUGGAAGUGAAAACCAUGGGCUCAACCCAUGAAUUGCUUUCAAAACUGUUUUUCUUGAGUAGUGCAGAGGUAGAUGGAAUUCCCGGUGUAGCGGUGGAAUGCGUAGAUAUCGGGAGGAACACCAGUGGCGAAGGCGGUCUACUGGGCACCAACUGACGCUGAGGCUCGAAAGCAUGGGUAGCAAACAGGAUUAGAUACCCUGGUAGUCCAUGCCGUAAACGAUGAUUACUAGGUGUUGGGGGAUUGACCCCCUCAGUGCCGCAGUUAACACAAUAAGUAAUCCACCUGGGGAGUACGACCGCAAGGUUGAAACUCAAAGGAAUUGACGGGGGCCCGCACAAGCGGUGGAGUAUGUGGUUUAAUUCGACGCAACGCGAAGAACCUUACCAAGGCUUGACAUUGAUUGAACGCUCUAGAGAUAGAGAUUUCCCUUCGGGGACAAGAAAACAGGUGGUGCAUGGCUGUCGUCAGCUCGUGUCGUGAGAUGUUGGGUUAAGUCCCGCAACGAGCGCAACCCCUAUCCUAUGUUACCAGCAAGUAAAGUUGGGGACUCAUGGGAGACUGCCAGGGACAACCUGGAGGAAGGCGGGGAUGACGUCAAGUCAUCAUGCCCCUUAUGUCUUGGGCUACACACGUACUACAAUGGUCGGAAACAGAGGGAAGCGAAGCCGCGAGGCAGAGCAAACCCCAGAAACCCGAUCUCAGUUCGGAUCGCAGGCUGCAACCCGCCUGCGUGAAGUCGGAAUCGCUAGUAAUCGCAGGUCAGCAUACUGCGGUGAAUACGUUCCCGGGCCUUGCACACACCGCCC
This 1386-nucleotide ribosomal RNA is filed under the name uncultured bacterium. RNAcentral's name for it is "bacterial SSU rRNA". It matches the Rfam family "Bacterial small subunit ribosomal RNA". The record is from RNAcentral.